RNAcentral lists this ribosomal RNA (427 nucleotides) under uncultured bacterium. Its description in RNAcentral is "bacterial SSU rRNA". It matches the Rfam family "Bacterial small subunit ribosomal RNA", at positions 355 to 774 of the family's 1533-position model. The record is from RNAcentral.
UGGGGAAUUUUGGACAAUGGGCGAAAGCCUGAUCCAGCCAUGCCGCGUGAGUGAAGAAGGCCUUCGGGUUGUAAAGCUCUUUUAGUCGGAAAGAAAGAGUUGCAAUGAAUAAUUGUGAUUUAUGACGGUACCGACAGAAAAAGCACCGGCUAACUACGUGCCAGCAGCCGCGGUAAUACGUAGGGUGCGAGCGUUAAUCGGAAUUACUGGGCGUAAAGGGUGCGCAGGCGGUCUUGCAAGUCAGAUGUGAAAGCCCCGGGCUUAACCUGGGAAUUGCGUUUGAAACUACAAGACUAGAGUGCAGCAGAGGGGAGUGGAAUUCCAUGUGUAGCAGUGAAAUGCGUAGAGAUGGGGAAGAACACCGAUGGCGAAGGCAGCUCCCUGGGUUGACACUGACGCUCAUGCACGAAAGCGUGGGGAUCAAACA